This 332-nucleotide ribosomal RNA is filed under the name uncultured bacterium. RNAcentral's name for it is "bacterial SSU rRNA". It matches the Rfam family "Bacterial small subunit ribosomal RNA", at positions 568 to 898 of the family's 1533-position model. The record is from RNAcentral.
CGUGUAGGCGGUUGGUCAAGUCUGGUGUGAAAGCCCGGGGCUCAGCUCCGGAAGUGCAUCGGAAACUAGCCGACUGGAGCGCGAUAGAGGAGGGUGGAAUUCCUGGUGUAGCGGUGAAAUGCGUAGAUAUCAGGAGGAACACCGGCGGCGAAGGCGGCCCUCUGGAUCGUUGCUGACGCUGAGACGCGAAAGCGUGGGGAGCAAACAGGAUUAGAUACCCUGGUAGUCCACGCUGUAAACUAUGGGUACUAGGUGUUCGGGAUGUUGACCCCCUGAGUGCCGCAGCUAACGCAUUAAGUACCCCGCCUGGGGACUACGGCCGCAAGGUUAAA